GUACGGCAAUUGGAAAACGCAUCCCUCAAAGUUGCAGAGAGGAACUUGCAUUUCCUGGAAGGAUUUGGUGGUUCCUGAUGAUAAAAGACACCCAUAUUGUAGAACUUGAAAAUUUUAUCUUUUCGAUACAGAAAUAUAUAAAGAACCAACGUAUAAAAUAACAAGUCACGCCUGGAGUUGAUGUUCAAAUUGACCUGCCUCGGUGAUAGUGGCCUUGCAGCUUAUU
RNAcentral lists this unclassified non-coding RNA (226 nucleotides) under Hevea brasiliensis (rubber tree). Lineage: Eukaryota; Viridiplantae; Streptophyta; Magnoliopsida; Malpighiales; Euphorbiaceae. The record is from RNAcentral.